AGGAUUGGGUCUAUCCCAGAACUAAAGAAGGUACCCUCUGGCAUCCACGACCUCCAAAAACUCAAAACUCUUGCGUUUAUUAAUAUGCUGAAAAAAUUCUUAGAUAGAAUGCAACCCCAACCCAACCAAGGCAAAGACUAUUGGAUUGUUGAGCAUAUACCUAAUGUCCUGUUCUGGUCUCGGUGGGGCUUUUCUGGAUAUUAGAACAGCGGCACUCUUCAAAAAUAUUUUGAGAGGAAGGUGAAAAACCAAAGGGUUACUGAAGCUGAAUAAUGAAUCUUACGGUUACGGAUGCAAAUUCAAUUCCAGGUCAAUCACCGGCAACACAUACAGUUGAAGGGAAAUCAAUGGCAGAGGCACCCAGAAUUCAAGUACUCCAAGCUGCCAAUAACCUUAUGAUUGAACAAACCCCUUUUAUCACCGUUGAUUUUUAUUUCCUUUGGAUUGCAAAGUAAAAAGUGUGACAUCUCUGUCAAGAUGGACAUGUUUAUUACUGUUUUUAUUGUUUUUUGCCAAGGCAGUGUUUUGGAUUUCUGUUAUCAAGACUUAUUUCGUGAUAACCACAAUUGUGUAACUUUAAUUGAGACAAACAUAUGAUCAUACAUUCCUUCUUGUUGUA
Non-coding RNA from Camellia sinensis, 619 nucleotides. The record is from RefSeq and is a predicted model, not a curated record. Lineage: Eukaryota; Viridiplantae; Streptophyta; Magnoliopsida; Ericales; Theaceae.